GAUGAACGCUGGCGGCGUGCCUAAUACAUGCAAGUCGAGCGAACAGAUGAGGAGCUUGCUCCUCUGACGUUAGCGGCGGACGGGUGAGUAACACGUGGAUAACCUACCUAUAAGACUGGGAUAACUACGGGAAACCGGAGCUAAUACCGGAUAAUAUAUUGAACCGCAUGGUUCAAUAGUGAAAGACGGUUUUGCUGUCACUUAUAGAUGGAUCCGCGCCGCAUUAGCUAGUUGGUAAGGUAACGGCUUACCAAGGCAACGAUGCGUAGCCGACCUGAGAGGGUGAUCGGCCACACUGGAACUGAGACACGGUCCAGACUCCUACGGGAGGCAGCAGUAGGGAAUCUUCCGCAAUGGGCGAAAGCCUGACGGAGCAACGCCGCGUGAGUGAUGAAGGUCUUCGGAUUGUAAAACUCUGUUAUUAGGGAAGAACAAAUGUGUAAGUAACUAUGCACGUCUUGACGGUACCUAAUCAGAAAGCCACGGCUAACUACGUG
This 497-nucleotide ribosomal RNA is filed under the name uncultured bacterium. Its description in RNAcentral is "partial 16S ribosomal RNA". It matches the Rfam family "Bacterial small subunit ribosomal RNA", at positions 28 to 507 of the family's 1533-position model. The record is from RNAcentral.